UACGUAGGGGGCAAGCGUUGUCCGGAUUUACUGGGCGUAAAGAGCGUGUAGGCGGCCACGCAGGUCCGUUGUGAAAACUGGAGGCUCAGCCUCCAGCUGUCGACGGAAACCGUGUGGCUAGAGUCCGGAAGAGGAGAGUGGAAUUCCUGGUGUAGCGGUGAAAUGCGCAGAUAUCAGGAAGAACACCAAUGGCGAAGGCAGCUCUCUGGGACGGUACUGACGCUGAGACGCGAAAGCGUGGGGAGCGAACAGG
This 253-nucleotide ribosomal RNA is filed under the name uncultured bacterium. Its description in RNAcentral is "partial 16S ribosomal RNA". It matches the Rfam family "Bacterial small subunit ribosomal RNA", at positions 524 to 776 of the family's 1533-position model. The record is from RNAcentral.